Molecule: ribosomal RNA, 626 nt
Filed under: Phaeotremella fagi
Lineage: Eukaryota; Fungi; Basidiomycota; Tremellomycetes; Tremellales; Phaeotremellaceae
Description: eukaryotic LSU rRNA
Rfam family: Eukaryotic large subunit ribosomal RNA
Source: RNAcentral
UAAGCGGAGGAAAAGAAACUAACAAGGAUUCCCCUAGUAACGGCGAGUGAACCGGGAAGAGCUCAAAUUUGUAAUCUGGCCCUUGGGUCCGAGUUGUAAUCUAUAGAGGCGUUUUCCGUGCCGGACCGUGUCCAAGUCCCUUGGAACAGGGUAUCAAAGAGGGUGACAAUCCCGUACUUGACACGACGACCGGUGCUCUGUGAUACGUCUUCGACGAGUCGAGUUGUUUGGGAAUGCAGCUCAAAAUGGGUGGUAAAUUCCAUCUAAAGCUAAAUAUUGGCGAGAGACCGAUAGCGAACAAGUACCGUGAGGGAAAGAUGAAAAGCACUUUGGAAAGAGAGUUAAACAGUACGUGAAAUUGUUAAAAGGGAAACGAUUGAAGUCAGUCGUGUUGGUCGGAUUCAGCCUGGUCUCCGGGUGUAUUUCCUUCCAACGGGUCAACAUCAGUUUGGAUCGGCGGAUAAAGAUGGAGGGAAGGUGGCAUCCUCGGAUGUGUUAUAGCCCUCUGUUGCAUACGCUGGUUCGGACUGAGGCAUGCAGCUCGCCUUUAUGGCCGGGGUUCGCCCACGUUCGAGCUUAGGAUGUUGACGUAAUGGCUUUAAACGACCCGUCUUGAAACACGGACC